RNAcentral lists this ribosomal RNA (434 nucleotides) under uncultured Lachnospiraceae bacterium. RNAcentral describes it as "partial 16S ribosomal RNA". It matches the Rfam family "Bacterial small subunit ribosomal RNA", at positions 341 to 792 of the family's 1533-position model. The record is from RNAcentral. Lineage: Bacteria; Bacillati; Bacillota; Clostridia; Lachnospirales; Lachnospiraceae.
ACGGGAGGCAGCAGUGGGGAAUAUUGCACAAUGGGGGAAACCCUGAUGCAGCGACGCCGCGUGAGUGAAGAAGUAUUUCGGUAUGUAAAGCUCUAUCAGCAGGGAAGAAAAUGACGGUACCUGACUAAGAAGCUCCGGCUAAAUACGUGCCAGCAGCCGCGGUAAUACGUAUGGAGCAAGCGUUAUCCGGAUUUACUGGGUGUAAAGGGAGCGUAGACGGGACAGCAAGUCUGAUGUGAAAGGCGGGGGCUUAACCCCUGGACUGCAUUGGAAACUGUUGACCUUGAGUGUCGGAGAGGUAAGCGGAAUUCCUAGUGUAGCGGUGAAAUGCGUAGAUAUUAGGAGGAACACCAGUGGCGAAGGCGGCUUACUGGACGGUAACUGACGUUGAGGCUCGAAAGCGUGGGGAGCAAACAGGAUUAGAUACCCUGGUA